CUACGGGGCGCUGCAGCGGGGAAUAUUGGACAAUGGGGGAAACCCUGAUCCAGCAAUGCCGCGUGUGUGAAGAAGGCCUGCGGGUUGUAAAGCACUUUCGGUUGGGAGGACUGCUUCUAGCACUAAUAUUGUUGGAAGUUGACGUUACCUUCAGAAGAAGCACCGGCUAACUCCGUGCCAGCAGCCGCGGUAAUACGGGAGGGUGCAAGCGUUAAUCGGAAUUACUGGGCGUAAAGCGCGCGUAGGCGGCUAGAUCAGUCGGGUGUGAAAGCCCCGGGCUUAACCUGGGAACUGCAUCCGAUACUGUCUAGCUUGAGUACAGGAGAGGAGAGUGGAAUUCCACAUGUAGCGGUGAAAUGCGUAGAUAUGUGGAGGAACACCAAUGGCGAAGGCAGCUCUCUGGCCUGAUACUGACGCUGAGGUGCGAAAGCGUGGGGAGCAAACAGGAUUAGAUACCCCCGUAGUC
RNAcentral lists this ribosomal RNA (466 nucleotides) under uncultured bacterium. Its description in RNAcentral is "partial 16S ribosomal RNA". It matches the Rfam family "Bacterial small subunit ribosomal RNA", at positions 339 to 795 of the family's 1533-position model. The record is from RNAcentral.